GCCUGGGUGGCUCAGUUGGUUAAGCGUCUGACUUCAGCUCAGGUCGUGAUCUCACGGUCCGUGGGUUCGAGCCCCGCGUCGGGCU
This 85-nucleotide transfer RNA is filed under the name Felis catus (domestic cat). It matches the Rfam family "tRNA". From Rfam's summary of the family: Transfer RNA (tRNA) molecules are approximately 80 nucleotides in length. Their secondary structure includes four short double-helical elements and three loops (D, anti-codon, and T loops). Lineage: Eukaryota; Metazoa; Chordata; Mammalia; Carnivora; Felidae. The record is from Rfam by way of RNAcentral.